Molecule: ribosomal RNA, 468 nt
Filed under: uncultured bacterium
Lineage: Bacteria
Description: partial 16S ribosomal RNA
Rfam family: Bacterial small subunit ribosomal RNA
Source: RNAcentral
GACGAACGCUGGCGGCGUGCUUAACACAUGCAAGUCGAACGGAAAGGCCCUGCUUUUGUGGGGUGCUCGAGUGGCGAACGGGUGAGUAACACGUGAGUAACCUGCCCUUGACUUUGGGAUAACUUCAGGAAACUGGGGCUAAUACCGGAUAGGAGCUCCUGCUGCAUGGUGGGGGUUGGAAAGUUUCGGCGGUUGGGGAUGGACUCGCGGCUUAUCAGCUUGUUGGUGGGGUAGUGGCUUACCAAGGCUUUGACGGGUAGCCGGCCUGAGAGGGUGACCGGCCACAUUGGUACUGAGAUACGGCCCAGACUCCUACGGGAGGCAGCAGGGGGGAAUAUUGCACAAUGGGCGGAAGCCUGAUGCAGCAACGUCGCGUGCGGGAUGACGGCCUUCGGGUUGUAAACCGCUUUCGCCUGUGACGAAGCGUGAGUGACGGUAAUGGGUAAAGAAGCACCGGCUAACUACGUG